GACGAACGCUGGCGGCGUGCUUAACACAUGCAAGUCGAACGAGUGGCGAACGGGUGAGUAACACGUGGGUUACCUGCCCUGCACUUCGGGAUAAGCCUGGGAAACUGGGUCUAAUACCGGUUAGUGUGGGAUGGUCCCGCGGCCUAUCAGCUUGUUGGUGGGGUAAUGGCUACAAAGGCGCCACGGGUAGCCGGCCUGAGAGGAUGAUCAGCCACACUGGGACUGAGACACGGCCCAGACUCCUACGGGAGGCAGCAGUGGGGAAUAUUGGACAAUGGGCGCAAGCCUGAUGGAGCCAUGCCGCGUGUGUGAAGAAGGCCUUAGGGUUGUAAAGUACUUUCAGCGGGGAGGCGUUACCCGCAGAAGAAGCACCGGCUAACUCCGUGCCAGCCGCCGCGGUAAUUC
Molecule: ribosomal RNA, 405 nt
Filed under: uncultured bacterium
Lineage: Bacteria
Description: partial 16S ribosomal RNA
Rfam family: Bacterial small subunit ribosomal RNA
Source: RNAcentral